UACGGAGGAUCCGAGCGUUAUCCGGAUUUACUGGGUUUAAAGGGUGCGUAGGCGGCUCCCUCAGUCAGCGGUGAAAUGUGCAGGCUCAACCUGCAACCUGCCGUUGAUACUGGGGAGCUUGAGUUGGGUUGAGGCAGGCGGAAUGUGCGGUGUAGCGGUGAAAUGCUUAGAUAUCGCACAGAACGCCGAUUGCGUAGGCAGCUUGCCAAGCCCACACUGACGCUGAGGCACGAAAGCGUGGGGAUCAAACAGG
Molecule: ribosomal RNA, 253 nt
Filed under: uncultured bacterium
Lineage: Bacteria
Description: partial 16S ribosomal RNA
Rfam family: Bacterial small subunit ribosomal RNA
Source: RNAcentral